Molecule: non-coding RNA, 148 nt
Filed under: Nomascus leucogenys (northern white-cheeked gibbon)
Lineage: Eukaryota; Metazoa; Chordata; Mammalia; Primates; Hylobatidae
Source: Rfam by way of RNAcentral
GCCAGGCAUGGUGGUGGGUGCCUGUAAUCCCAGCUACUGGGGAGGCUGAGGUGGGAGGAUCACUUGAGUCCAGGAGGUGGAGGUUGCAGUGAGCCAAGAUCAAGCCACUGCACUCCAGCCUGGGCGAGAGAGUGAGACUCCAACUCAA